UACAGAGGUCUCGAGCGUUGUUCGGAUUCAUUGGGCGUACAGGGCGCGUAGGCUGCGGGGCAAGUCGGGUGUGAAAUCUCAGAGCUCAACUCUGAAACUGCACUCGAUACUGCUUUGCUUGAGGACUGGAGAGGAGAUUGGAAUUCACGGUGUAGCAGUGAAAUGCGCAGAUAUCAGGAGGAACACCGGUGGCGAAGGCGGGUCUCUGGGCCGAAAUUGACGCUGAGGAGCGAAAGCGUGGGGAGCAAACAGG
RNAcentral lists this ribosomal RNA (253 nucleotides) under uncultured bacterium. Its description in RNAcentral is "partial 16S ribosomal RNA". It matches the Rfam family "Bacterial small subunit ribosomal RNA", at positions 524 to 776 of the family's 1533-position model. The record is from RNAcentral.